GAUGAACGCUAGCGGCAGGCUUAACACAUGCAAGUCGAGGGGCAGCAUAAUGGCUAGCAAUAUCUAUGGUGGCGACCGGCGCACGGGUGCGUAACGCGUAUGCAACCUACCUUUAACAGGGGGAUAACACUGAGAAAUUGGUCCUAAUACCCCAUAAUAUCAUAGAAGGCAUCUUUUAUGGUUGAAAAUUCCGAUGGUUAGAGAUGGGCAUGCGUUGUAUUAGCUAGUUGGUGGGGUAACGGCUCACCAAGGCGACGAUACAUAGGGGGAAUGAGGGGUUAACCCCCCACACUGGUACUGAGACACGGACCAGACUGCUACGGGAGGGAGCAGUAAGGAAGAUUAGUCAAUGGAGGCAAGUCUGAACCAGCCAUGCCGGGUGCAGGAUGACGGCUCUAUGAGUUGUAAACUGCUUGUGUACGAGGGUAAACGCAGAUACGUGUAUCUGUCUGAAGGUAUCGUACGAAUAAGGAUCGGCUAACUCCGUG
RNAcentral lists this ribosomal RNA (488 nucleotides) under uncultured bacterium. RNAcentral's name for it is "partial 16S ribosomal RNA". It matches the Rfam family "Bacterial small subunit ribosomal RNA", at positions 28 to 507 of the family's 1533-position model. The record is from RNAcentral.